RNAcentral lists this non-coding RNA (164 nucleotides) under uncultured Roseburia sp. Lineage: Bacteria; Bacillati; Bacillota; Clostridia; Lachnospirales; Lachnospiraceae. The record is from RNAcentral.
UUGGAAGAAAAUUAGACAAUCUUAAUAUGCCUGUUCGUAAUACAGUGUUGUGCUGCCACGGAUGGCAGCACAAGUCUUAAUGCCCCUGGAUGGGGCAUUUAAGACGCACACGUCACUCCGAGAAAACCUACAUCAGGCAUAUUUAGAUUGUCUUAUUUUCGGAC